UACGUAGGGUGCAAGCGUUGUCCGGAUUUACUGGGCGUAAAGAGCGCGCAGGCGGUCGUCCAAGUCGCGUGUGAAAGCUCCCGGCUCAACUGGGGAGGGUCACGCGAUACUGGUCGACUCGAAGGCAGGAGAGGGUAGUGGAAUUCCCGGUGUAGUGGUGAAAUGCGUAGAUAUCGGGAGGAACACCAGUGGCGAAGGCGACUACCUGGCCUGUUCUUGACGCUGAGGCGCGAAAGCUAGGGGAGCAAACGGG
This 253-nucleotide ribosomal RNA is filed under the name uncultured bacterium. RNAcentral's name for it is "partial 16S ribosomal RNA". It matches the Rfam family "Bacterial small subunit ribosomal RNA", at positions 524 to 776 of the family's 1533-position model. The record is from RNAcentral.